GGGGGACAGCAGGCCUGGUCACCAGCUUUUGUACCUGUCUCUGCAAGCAUUGCAUUGCUGGAAGAGAAUCUCAUGCCAGAGCUUGGACCAUGCCUUGCUCAGGGGUUAGGGGUUGUCUCUUGGUGACCUAAAUGAAAAAAUAGCUCCAGAUCAUAGUUCCCACAGAGCCCAAGGCUGGAAACCUCCAGAAUCCUCUGGCCCCCAAUCCUCCCCAGGGACCCCUGUGGCCUAUCUCACAAGAACAUUCUUCCAUCUGUAGAUUUCUUGGCUGCUCCACAAGGGAGUCCCACUUCAGGUGUGGUGCUGGGCAUGGUCACUCCUGCUGGAUGUUUAGAAGGUGGAAACCAAGGACCUAGGGAAAUACCAGGUACAGCCUUUCCACCCUCAUCCAGAGAAGGACAAAGAGGCCAGGCGGUGUCAGGAGCCCAGGUCUCCAGCUGGAGGGAACGUCAACCCUGCAGUGGGAGCAGGGGCCCAUUGCACAUCCUAGGCAGAGAUGAUAACGUAGGAACCACAGAAGCUCUGCUGACAGUUUGGUGAUUGCCAUUGGGGCAGUGAGCCUUUUGUCCGUUCUGAGGUUGGGCUGGUUUCUCCUCUUGGCCCUGCCCUACAGACCAUAAAGGAAAUCAGCAAGAAGUCCCCAGCAAACAUCCACAGAUGGCCCUGGACAUCAGCCACAUUCUGAGAAACAUGUCAUGUUCUGGGAGGGCUAAGGCAUCAAGGCCUGUGACCUGGUGCACAACUUUAGACACCAUCAUCCUGGAGCAGCACUGCACCCUCACUAGCCAGGGUGUUCAUGACUUCCUCAAGGCCAAGGCCACGUUCAAGACUUGGGACUUCAGUGAUGCACUUGUGCUGGGCAAGGUGGCUUCUCCGGUAUCUUAAUUUGGGAGGUAGAAUGCAGCUUGAAAUCAAAUGUCUGAUCAAAGAACUUGAACUUGAUCUGGAGGGCUCUGGGGAGCCAUGGAAGGUGCUGGAUAAAGGAGGGACAGUCAGAUAUGUCUUAGAGAUGACUGUAGAAGGCUGCCUGGAAGGAAUGAACAAGAGCCAGGAGACGCAGGAGGGAGCUUGUGGGGCAGGUCUGGAGAUGGCAAGGGAGGGAUCCUGCUUGGAUGAAAAGUCUUCAGGGACUGUUUCAGGUUACACUCAGGUGCCCUCAGAGCUAAUGUGUUCAGAGGUCUUGUCUCCAGGAUGAAAAUGGGAAGGAGUUGUCAGAUGAGGACAUAUAAAUGGAGGCUGGCAUCUUCAUGAGUACCAGCGGUGGUCCCGGUGUGGGUCUCUCCAUCCAGGGACAUGGUGGAUGGACACUACAUCAUUCCAUUCUGCCCUUCCUUUCCCUCCUCCCAUUCUCCCGAGGGCCUCAGUGCAUGGGCGGUGUCCAACCUCUGGUGCUGAAGCAGCCGAGAGACCCAAGCCUGCGUGGCUGCCUCUUAGGAUAUGACAGCACAGCCACUGGGCUCUACUGAAUCCUGUGCAACCUCAGAAGACACCCAGGAGUGAUGCCAUCACGUGGUGCAAGAGUUCUGAGGGACCGCAAUCCUGAAGACAUUGAAUGGCUGUGUUCCUGCUCACUGCUGGAGGCGCUGUCAGGGGCCCUGUCCUCAACCCCGGGUCUGACCCUUGCAGAUCAGGCAGGACAUUCUGGAGGAAUCAUGCCCUUGGAAGGAUCCCUGAGGAGUGACUGUUGUUAGAUUAAAAAACAGUGGCAAAGAGCAAUACAGAGAGUUGCCAAAAUUCACACCGCUGGUCCAGGUUUGAAGCAAGCAAUCUGUACCUGCAGUCCUUGUCUGUAACCAUGGCACCCUGGCUUCUCACACAUCUCAUCGUGGAGUUCCACCAUGUGUCAGGCAUGGCACUGAGCACCUUCUUUUAAGAAUAUAAUUUGUAAUUAUGUAGAUUAUUAAUUCUACUUCAAAAUGCCACACAGCCUUCAUGUGAUAAAAUGAAACAAUUGGUGAGUCUAAGCAUUGAGAAAAAAUGUUCUUUUUUCCACUCCUGACUCCAUUCCAACAGUUGGGACAGUGUUUUCUCUGUGCCUGUAGAAACCUCAGCUCCUGUGCUGAGGAGCCUGUUCCCUUUGGGGAAUGUGGCAGUGAGGUGCUGGCAGGGACCUCGAAGCGGCUGAAGGGUCAUUAAGAAAAAGCUGUUUACGUAGGUGUGGGCAGGGCCAAGGGGAACCAGGGGGGAUGGCGCAGGGCCCUGGGGUUAGCGUCAUCUGGGAGCUGUCACCACCCUCCAGGCUGGUGGGGCCAUGGAGAAGCUGUUUCAGUAACUCAGAGAAUCUGCAGCUGAAAGAGGAGGCCAGAGGAGACAUCACUCACUGUGCCCUUUGACUGCAUCUGGAUGCCCUCACUGACCACACUACCAUCCACUUAUUAGACUGGAGAGGCUGCAGGGAG
This 2399-nucleotide long non-coding RNA is filed under the name Pan troglodytes (chimpanzee). RNAcentral describes it as "long non-coding RNA NONPTRT004404". Lineage: Eukaryota; Metazoa; Chordata; Mammalia; Primates; Hominidae. The record is from RNAcentral.